GAUGAACGCUAGCUACAGGCUUAACACAUGCAAGUCGAGGGGCAGCAUGGUCUUAGCUUGCUAAGGCCGAUGGCGACCGGCGCACGGGUGAGUAACACGUAUCCAACCUGCCGUCUACUCUUGGACAGCCUUCUGAAAGGAAGAUUAAUACAAGAUGGCAUCAUGAGUCCACAUGUUCACAUGAUUAAAGGUAUUCCGGUAGACGAUGGGGAUGCGUUCCAUUAGAUAGUAGGCGGGGUAACGGCCCACCUAGUCUUCGAUGGAUAGGGGUUCUGAGAGGAAGGUCCCCCACAUUGGAACUGAGACACGGUCCAAACUCCUACGGGAGGCAGCAGUGAGGAAUAUUGGUCAAUGGGCGAGAGCCUGAACCAGCCAAGUAGCGUGAAGGAUGACUGCCCUAUGGGUUGUAAACUUCUUUUAUAAAGGAAUAAAGUCGGGUAUGGAUACCCGUUUGCAUGUACUUUAUAAAUAAGGAUCGGCUAACUCCGUGCCAGCAGCCGCGGUAAUACGGAGGAUCCGAGCGUUAUCCGGAUUUAUUGGGUUUAAAGGGAGCGUAGAUGGAUGUUUAAGUCAGUUGUGAAAGUUUGCGGCUCAACCGUAAAAUUGCAGUUGAUACUGGAUAUCUUGAGUGCAGUUGAGGCAGGCGGAAUUCGUGGUGUAGCGGUGAAAUGCUUAGAUAUCACGAAGAACUCCGAUUGCGAAGGCAGCCUGCUAAGCUGCAACUGACAUUGAGGCUCGAAAGUGUGGGUAUCAAACAGGAUUAGAUACCCUGGUAGUCCACACGGUAAACGAUGAAUACUCGCUGUUUGCGAUAUACAGCAAGCGGCCAAGCGAAAGCGUUAAGUAUUCCACCUGGGGAGUACGCCGGCAACGGUGAAACUCAAAGGAAUUGACGGGGGCCCGCACAAGCGGAGGAACAUGUGGUUUAAUUCGAUGAUACGCGAGGAACCUUACCCGGGCUUAAAUUGCAGAUGAAUUACGGUGAAAGCCGUAAGCCGCAAGGCAUCUGUGAAGGUGCUGCAUGGUUGUCGUCAGCUCGUGCCGUGAGGUGUCGGCUUAAGUGCCAUAACGAGCGCAACCCUUGUUGUCAGUUACUAACAGGUUCCGCUGAGGACUCUGACAAGACUGCCAUCGUAAGAUGUGAGGAAGGUGGGGAUGACGUCAAAUCAGCACGGCCCUUACGUCCGGGGCUACACACGUGUUACAAUGGGGGGUACAGAGGGCCGCUACCACGCGAGUGGAUGCCAAUCCCAAAAACCUCUCUCAGUUCGGACUGGAGUCUGCAACCCGACUCCACGAAGCUGGAUUCGCUAGUAAUCGCGCAUCAGCCACGGCGCGGUGAAUACGUUCCCGGGCCU
Molecule: ribosomal RNA, 1358 nt
Filed under: uncultured bacterium
Lineage: Bacteria
Description: bacterial SSU rRNA
Rfam family: Bacterial small subunit ribosomal RNA
Source: RNAcentral